RNAcentral lists this long non-coding RNA (326 nucleotides) under Pan troglodytes (chimpanzee). RNAcentral's name for it is "long non-coding RNA NONPTRT014344". The record is from RNAcentral. Lineage: Eukaryota; Metazoa; Chordata; Mammalia; Primates; Hominidae.
GAGCAGGAGACCCUAACUUCCUGGCUCCCGCACUCCCCAGGCGCACCACAUUUCAGCACGACGGACAGCGCAGCACUGGGGCGCGACUGGGGAGGCGGGGACCAAUACCACGCUGUUUCAGCCCGGCUUUUUCAAAUCUCUCGGGUCUCCGCCCUCAUUUCCGUGCAUUUUCGAAACGACUCUCACAGCAACCGAAGCCACAAAAACACAUUCACAGAAAACGGGGAAGCUCCAGGGUUCGCUUACCGUCUGACAAGUCAAUCAGUCCGAGGCAAUUUCUCCAAAGGUUUAACCAGUCCCUAAUCUUCUGCUAGCUGAGUGUAACC